Long non-coding RNA from Paramisgurnus dabryanus, 3299 nucleotides. RefSeq lists it as uncharacterized. The record is from RefSeq and is a predicted model, not a curated record. NCBI's taxonomy places the organism in Eukaryota, Metazoa, Chordata, Actinopteri, Cypriniformes, Cobitidae.
GGGCUUAUAAGCUUGCUGCUAACAAACGCUUACUGUCACGUCUUUGGUUAUUUUGUGAAUAGUGAAAAUAAGCGGGAAAAAUCGUGUUUUCAUACAACAUCCCAAAUGACGCACUUACCAACGCAUUAAUGUCGCAUUUAGGGAUCUCUGCGGUCGCUGGAGUGCCGUAAUCAGCAGAGAUUGUUUAACUGAAGCAAAUAUGGGACUGAGCUGCUGCAAAGUCGCUGCCUCUUGCCCUGGAUGCAGAGUGAGCUGUGGAGAUGACUGCCUGUGCGAAUGCCACAAGCACGAGCCCUGUCUGGAUCGAUCUUGUAACCUGUGCUGUCAGUUCUGUCUGGACAGCUGCUGUGCGAUAUUUUCGGACGACUGUAGCUACACUGUGUGUUUCCUGUGCACACGGAUGGCACAUGCCUGCGUCUCAGUCUUGAACACAGAGCAGCCCACGUCUACACGGAGAUGAGAAGGUUUUCGUUUGAAAGGAAUACAGCUGGAUUGUGGCACUCUGAGUUUACAUCUGAAGACUUUAAUGGGAACUAAAAGGCGAACCGGGUACCAGGUUUAACCAAAGUUGGAGAAAGCAUUUUCUGGAUACCAAGAGAAUGGGGAAACGUCAUGAAAAUGAUUUUUUUACAGAUGUACUAUCACUGUUAACACAGGCCAGGAUGCACUGUGUAUAGAUUGUGCUUGCAAUUGUAUCAUACAAGUGAUUCUAUAUAGACGCUUUUAUCUGACACACACGUUAUGAUGAUAAUGGGAGGUUUCCCUGCUGGAAAAACCAGCAUAUGAUGUGUUUUGGUGCUGGUUUGCUAGUGAACACUAGCUAAACCAGCACCAAACCAGCACCAGCUAAACCAGCAACAAAACAGCAAUAGCACCAGAAUCCAUUGCUGGUCAUACCAGCAAGACCAGCAUAUGUUGUGUUUUGGUGCUGGUAUGCUGGUGACCACCAGCUUAACCAGCAUAUGCUGCGUUCCAGAGCACAUCCAAACCAGUGGGAUGUAGGACUUAUCCUACCUCCAACUAGGAAAAGUGCACUGGAAUGCCUGUCGAAGUGGAACCUCCUACCGGCGAACUCGGGGGAGUUCGACCUACCCCGACUUCAGCAAAAUAAGUCGAAGGACAAUGGCGGCACCCAUAGAGUCUCGUGUCGUGAGAGGAAAACUUCAAGGAAUAGACUAUAAAUUGUACUUCUCUGCUUGUAAGGUUGUUUUAGACACUGUAAUUUUAACACAACUUGUUUUUUUAUAUUAUGGCGUGAAAUGAUGUCGUUAUUAUCUGUUAGCAUGAAGAUACGGUAAAAGUAUACCAAGUUACUUAAGCGACAUGCAGCGCUUUUAUAUAAUGGCUUCAGAACACUUUGUAAAGAUGUUAAACUUGAUGUUUUAGUGUAGUGUGAACUGCACAGUUCGGACUGACGUUUAAAAGUCAUGUAGUCUGUACGAGCCUUAAGAAGACCGGUACGUCGUCCAUGUUUUCUGUUUACGUUCCACUUAAAAUGCAUGGAACGCUUUGAAGUAGGAGCUAGGACACUUCAGGAAGGAUAAGUCCCACGUCCCACUGGUUUGGAUGGGCUCUGGAACGCAGCAAAAGACCAGUAUAAUUCCUAUGCUGGUCUGAUUUUUUCAGCAGGGUUGACAGCCGAUAUGUAGUUAACAUUAUAGACGUUCAUUUUAUACAGUAAUGUUAACUUGGUGUAGUUUUUGGUAAGCUUUAGCUGUGAUUUUAACUAAGGUAAUUGUUGUUUAUUUUGCUUGUUAUCAGAAAUAAACUCUACUUUACUGUUAUUGAUUCUUUGCAGAGUUUACCGGAAGUUACAUUUGUUACACAAAAGCUGUAUGUUUAGAUCUACUUUCCUGCAGAGUUCACGUCCAACCCUAAUCAAACACACCUGAACCUGCUAAUCAAGCUGUUUAUGGCUAUACCCAAAAAUAAGAGGCAGGUGCUGAAGCAGGGUUGGAUGUAAAGUAGGCAGGAGGAUCAAUCUAAAUGUUCAAAUGACUGCACAUUUUCUCAGAGGACAAGCAGGAAAAACUUGACUCACACACCCUGUGAAACCUGCCGUCAGAGGUAGAGUAUUUAUAUUUCAGAGUCCGCCCAGGCGUGUGUCAUAUCAGCCCUGACGAUCUCAUGACAAGGAUAUACGUUUGGAAGUUAAACUAACUAUGGUUUUUACAAGAUGAAAAGAAGCUCCCAGCUUAAAAAGAGAGAACCGUGAAGGACUGAAGAAAAGACGAUUGAAGAGAAAAACAGGAGUCUUGCACUCGGAGGGCACUUGGAAAAGAUAAGGUCUGAUCUGGUAGACUGAGCCAUGGAGGAUUACAGAAAAGAGCCACCGCCGGACUAUUCUGAGGUUGUUACGCAGCAACACACCAGCAAUACCAACCAGAGCUCCUCUGCUGAUAAGACGCAGGGAGGAGGCUGCAAGAGAUGCUGCAUGAGUACCAAGAGAUGUCUGAUGAGUCCUGAGUGCGGCCGGUGUCUUAGCAUCGCCAACGUUAUUGCCAUGUGCGGCAUGUGUAUCCGAAUGUUUGUGUAGCUCCUGCAGAUCUCUCAUCCAGUGGUGUCCUACUCAAAUUAAGACAUUUGCUCUUUUCCAAAACCUGUAAUAUUUAUAAACCUGGAAUACAAGUCCAUGUCAUACAACAUUACACAUAUCAAUGUAUCCAUGUGUUUCUUCACAGAUAAGGUAAUCACAAAAUCAGAUUCAUUUAAAAUGGCAAAUGACAUAGAAAUAUGAAGACUGCAAACAAAGAUGCAGUGAAGCAGCUACUGCUAUAGGUUUUUUUGGACAGAACUAGUAUCAUGUCCUUAGUCAGUGCAAUAGAAAUUAAUUUCCCUUAAUCUCUUAAUUAAGCUUCAUGAAGAAACAGUGUUUUAUAUGAAAAUUAUGAUGAAUUUAGUUAUUUUAAAUCUACUUUAAAUCAAAUUUGGUUCAGAAAUGGUCCCAAGUUGUCACUAGGGCAGUACCCUAUAGAUAUAGAUACAUGGGUACAAAUAUGUAUGUAUUUGGUACUUAAAUGAAGUUUUUUUUUUUAGGUGCAAAUGUGUACUUUUGGAAAGGUAGCACCUCAGUGACAGCUAGGGACUAUUUGGACCAUUUUUAUCUGACAAUGUAGAUGGAGUCACUUGUAAAUGCUUGCAACAUUAACCAUUGUAUACUAGUGGGAUGUAUUGUAGCAUCUACUUUCGCAAUUCAUAUCCACCUUGUAUCAUACCUUUGUUCUUAAUUUCCUCCUCUUGUUGCAAAUUGCAAAAUGUUUGUUAUAUAGAUGUAAAAUUAAUAAAGAUCUGAUAGUGAA